UAUAUCGGGUAACUUUUAUUA
Molecule: non-coding RNA, 21 nt
Filed under: Caenorhabditis elegans
Lineage: Eukaryota; Metazoa; Nematoda; Chromadorea; Rhabditida; Rhabditidae
Source: RNAcentral